Molecule: ribosomal RNA, 292 nt
Filed under: uncultured bacterium
Lineage: Bacteria
Description: partial 16S ribosomal RNA
Rfam family: Archaeal small subunit ribosomal RNA
Source: RNAcentral
GUGCCAGCCGCCGCGGUAAUACCGGCAGCCCGAGUGAUGGCCGAUCUUAUUGGGCCUAAAGCGUCCGUAGCUGGCUACGCAAGUCCGUCGGGAAAUCCAAUCGCCCAACGGGUGGGCGUCCGACGGAAACUGCACACCUUGGGUCCGGAAGGCUCGAAGGGUACGGCCGGGGUAGGAGUGAAAUCCUGUAAUCCCGUCCGGACCACCGAUGGCGAAAGCACUUCGAGAAAACUGAUCCGACAGUGAGGGACGAAAGCUAAGAGCGCGAACCGGAUUAGAACCCUGGUAGUCC